CCAGAACCAUUGUUGGCAUCCGUAUUUUGUUGCUGGAUGGACAUUUUGGCUCCUGAAUAUGAAACCCAGUUGACAAAAUGCUGCUCCAAUUAUAAUGUAACCAUGUUUCUUCCUUCUUUUCUGCAAUUUAAGAAAUUGCAGCAAUGCAUGCCGAGUUGUGGAUUGAUGAAACUAAUUUACAUUUGGGACAAAAAAGAUUUGUGUGUAUAUAUAUACAUGUGAAGAAUGUGUGUACGUAUAAUAUAUGUUUUGUUGUAACAGAAACAAAAAACAACAAUAACUACUUAAGAUUCUCAGUUGGGUGGGAUCAGAUAACCAGAAUCCAGAACAAGGCGAAUUGGGUGAUUGUUUAAUUUCCCCCCCUUUUUUUCUUUUUCUUGAU
This is a long non-coding RNA of Rhododendron vialii, 382 nucleotides long. RefSeq lists it as uncharacterized. Lineage: Eukaryota; Viridiplantae; Streptophyta; Magnoliopsida; Ericales; Ericaceae. The transcript has 2 exons. The record is from RefSeq and is a predicted model, not a curated record.